CAGUCGCCGCGGUAAUACGGAGGGGGCUAGCGUUGUUCGGAAUUACUGGGCGUAAAGCGCACGUAGGCGGCUUUGUAAGUUAGAGGUGAAAGCCCGGGGCUCAACCCCGGAAUUGCCUUUAAGACUGCAGAGCCAGCAGGUGAGAGAGGUGAGUGGAAUUCCGAGUGUAGAGGUGAAAUUCGUAGAUAUUCGGAAGAACACCAGUGGCGAAGGCGGCUCACUGGCCCAUACUGGACGCUGUGGUGCGAAAGCGUGGGGAGCAAACAGGAUUAGAUACCCCAGUAGUCCCUGUCUCUUAUAC
Molecule: ribosomal RNA, 301 nt
Filed under: uncultured bacterium
Lineage: Bacteria
Description: partial 16S ribosomal RNA
Rfam family: Bacterial small subunit ribosomal RNA
Source: RNAcentral